RNAcentral lists this ribosomal RNA (280 nucleotides) under uncultured Staphylococcus sp. RNAcentral describes it as "partial 16S ribosomal RNA". It matches the Rfam family "Bacterial small subunit ribosomal RNA", at positions 83 to 355 of the family's 1533-position model. Lineage: Bacteria; Bacillati; Bacillota; Bacilli; Caryophanales; Staphylococcaceae. The record is from RNAcentral.
CUCUUGACGUUAGCGGCGGGACGGGUGAGUAACACGUGGGUAACCUACCUAUAAGACUGGGAUAACUUCGGGAAACCGGAGCUAAUACCGGAUAAUAUUUCGAACCGCAUGGUUCGAUAGUGAAAGGUGGUUUUGCUAUCACUUAUAGAUGGACCCGCGCCGUAUUAGCUAGUUGGUAAGGUAACGGCUUACCAAGGCGACGAUACGUAGCCGACCUGAGAGGGUGAUCGGCCACACUGGAACUGAGACACGGUCCAGACUCCUACGGGAGGCAGCAGUC